AUCGCUUCUCGGGCUUUUGGCUAAGAUCAAGUGUAGUAUCUGUUCUUAUCAGUUUAACAUUUUCCCCUGGAUACUCCACCACAUCCAUGAAAAUAGUUUCAGCAAAGGUAAAUACACAUGCACAAAUAUCCUGUGUCAAAUAUAUGUGUGGUGUGUACGUGGAUGAGUGUGUGUGUGUGUGUGUACUCUCU
Molecule: small nuclear RNA, 191 nt
Organism: Echinops telfairi (small Madagascar hedgehog)
Lineage: Eukaryota; Metazoa; Chordata; Mammalia; Afrosoricida; Tenrecidae
Product: U2 spliceosomal RNA
Exons: 1
Source: RefSeq, a predicted model, not a curated record